This is a long non-coding RNA of Syzygium oleosum, 1085 nucleotides long. RefSeq lists it as uncharacterized. The record is from RefSeq and is a predicted model, not a curated record. The transcript is spliced from 3 exons. Lineage: Eukaryota; Viridiplantae; Streptophyta; Magnoliopsida; Myrtales; Myrtaceae.
UCUCUCUCUCUCUCUCUCUCCUCUGCACGCAUUUAUUUCUUCUCUCUCUUCUCCUCCUUCGUUUUCGCAUCGAAGAGGAAAACUCACCGCUCUUUCCUCUCUGGCUUUCAAAUUUAUUUUGAAUCUCUGCGAUUUCGCUCUCAAAUUUCGCUCGGCUUCCUCGUUGCUCCCCCCUCUCCGACGAAGCCAAGGUUUGGGUCCCUCGUCCUCGCUCCGUCUUUGCUCCAGCGCACGCUCGCUCUCGAAAAAAUCCGGCGCUCGGUACGUCGCUCGCUCGCUGCUCUUUCGCUCGCUCCGUCUCUGCUCCGGCGCAGCUUUCCUUCGCCCAUUAAUCUGCUGGGGCGACCGAGAUUUGGGGAUCCCAUUUUCACUUCAUUCAGGUGGUAGACAGUGGUGAAAUUUCGCAUAGUGCUUGUGAUGGUGGUCCAGAAGAACUCCCAGUAGUUCUGGCCGGGCACUUCUGGACGAACGUGUAGGGAUGAGCUCAACUAUAGUUCCUGACCAGCAUCAUCAGUCCAGCAGCCGAUCCAGCCUCGGUUCUGAUGGGGCUGCAUCUCCUUAUGCAGGAUGUGAAGAUAGCCAUUUUCGUAGAGCAAAAGAGGAAUUGCAAUCAAUGGUCAAAAGCCUUUUGAGAGAAAUUGAUUUAGGUCAUGGUGAGUUUAAGGAAAUAGCGAGGUGUUCCACUCAUACUGUAUUGGUUGCUUGUGGCCUUGAGCACAGGAGGAGCGAGGUCUACACGAUCCGUCUGCCAUCCUUUUAUUCCCACAUAGACAAAAUGGCAACUGGACAGACAAGUCUGAUGAGUGGAGUUUGCUCAACAUGUUUUGAUGUUUUUGUCAGAGAUGUAACCCAAAACAUAAUGUACACAAGAGUACCACUGCGUUGGUUAAGUUUAGGUCUUUACGAAUUGAUAAACAUGGGCUGCCAUUUUUUGCACGUCCAUGGUUAAUUUUGGGGGGAUUUAGAUGAGAAGUAGGGGGGUUUUUGUCCAUACUGAUAACUGUUCGUGGUCCCAAGAGGAUCCAUUUUUCUGUGACUACAUUGAUGAUAUUUAUGUUUUGGUUGAAGGGGUCCUAUUUUUGGAA